RNAcentral lists this transfer RNA (74 nucleotides) under Acanthaster planci (crown-of-thorns starfish). Its description in RNAcentral is "tRNA-Ile". It matches the Rfam family "tRNA". From Rfam's summary of the family: Transfer RNA (tRNA) molecules are approximately 80 nucleotides in length. Their secondary structure includes four short double-helical elements and three loops (D, anti-codon, and T loops). Lineage: Eukaryota; Metazoa; Echinodermata; Asteroidea; Valvatida; Acanthasteridae. The record is from RNAcentral.
UCCCCAGUGGCACAAUAGGUUAGCGCGUUGUACUUAUAAUGCAAAGGUUGUGAGUUCGAACCUCACCUGGGGAA